RNAcentral lists this ribosomal RNA (541 nucleotides) under Mesocriconema sp. CD912. RNAcentral describes it as "partial large subunit ribosomal RNA". It matches the Rfam family "Eukaryotic large subunit ribosomal RNA", at positions 420 to 813 of the family's 3401-position model. The record is from RNAcentral. Lineage: Eukaryota; Metazoa; Nematoda; Chromadorea; Rhabditida; Criconematidae.
CGGAUAGAGCCGGCGAAGUCGCUCGUAUUUAGCCGAAGGCCCUGGGCUUUCCGCUGCUGAGUUGCUAAUCACGCUCGGUGGUGGAGUCUGCUCGGGGUUGAGGUGCACUUGCGGGCGUUUGCGCUGAGACUUGCGAGGCAGCUGUUGGACCCUUGUCUAGAGGCUUCCCUCUGGGUUGAACCUGGACCUGGUUACAACUGUUUGCCUUGCUCGUACUGGUCUGGCCUACGGACUCGGGUUGMGCCGUUGUAUGCACGUCGUGGCAUCGCAUGCGAUGUCUAGCGUGUGGGCAGCGGUUUGGCUUGCUGUCCACGGACCUUCUCUCGGUGUAGAAGCUGGUCAUCUCUCCGACCCGUCUUGAAACACGGACCAAGGAGUUUAGCGUAUGCGCGAGUCAUUGGGUGUAAAACCCAAAGGCGCAAUGAAAGUAAAGGCUCGGUCGCCGGGCUGACAUGUGAGUGCCGCGUCUUCGGACUAGGCACGCAGCAUGGUCCCGUUGUGGUCGCUUGCGACGCAGCGGAGACAGAGCGUAUGCGCUGAG